Molecule: transfer RNA, 73 nt
Filed under: Streptomyces sp.
Lineage: Bacteria; Bacillati; Actinomycetota; Actinomycetes; Kitasatosporales; Streptomycetaceae
Also listed under: 7 other names
Description: tRNA-Glu
Rfam family: tRNA
About the family: Transfer RNA (tRNA) molecules are approximately 80 nucleotides in length.
Source: RNAcentral
GGCCCCGUCGUCUAGAGGCCCAGGACGCCGCCCUCUCAAGGCGGUAGCGCCGGUUCGAAUCCGGUCGGGGCUA